This 467-nucleotide ribosomal RNA is filed under the name uncultured bacterium. RNAcentral's name for it is "partial 16S ribosomal RNA". It matches the Rfam family "Bacterial small subunit ribosomal RNA", at positions 28 to 507 of the family's 1533-position model. The record is from RNAcentral.
GACGAACGCUGGCGGCGUGCUUAACACAUGCAAGUCGAACGGAAAGGCUCCAGCUUGCUGGAGUACUCGAGUGGCGAACGGGUGAGUAACACGUGGGUAAUCUGCCCUGCACUCUGGGAUAAGCCUGGGAAACUGGGUCUAAUACUGGAUAUGACCUUUCUCCUUAUGGGGUUUGGUGGAAAGUUUUUUGGUGUAGGAUGAGCCCGCGGCCUAUCAGCUUGUUGGUGGGGUGAUGGCCUACCAAGGCGACGACGGGUAGCCGGCCUGAGAGGGUGAUCGGCCACAUUGGGACUGAGAUACGGCCCAGACUCCUACGGGAGGCAGCAGUGGGGAAUAUUGCACAAUGGGCGGAAGCCUGAUGCAGCGACGCCGCGUGAGGGAUGACGGCCUUCGGGUUGUAAACCUCUUUCAGCAGGGACGAAGCGUAAGUAACGGUACCUGCAGAAGAAGCACCGGCUAACUACGUG